CCCUACAGCAUCUUAAUUGCUAUCACAGAAAAAUACACAGUGGUUUGAAAAGACAGAAGAAAAGCUAAGCAGGGUCAGGCCUGGUUAGUACUUGGAUGGGAGACCACCUAGGAAGACUAGGUGCAGUAGGCA
Molecule: ribosomal RNA, 132 nt
Filed under: Pteropus vampyrus (large flying fox)
Lineage: Eukaryota; Metazoa; Chordata; Mammalia; Chiroptera; Pteropodidae
Source: RNAcentral